UACAGAGGUCCCGAGCGUUGUUCGGAUUCACUGGGCGUAAAGGGUGCGUAGGUGGUGAGGUAAGUCGGAUGUGAAAUCUCCAGGCUCAACCUGGAAACGGCAUUGGAAACUACCUUGCUAGAGGUUUUGAGGGGGGACUGGAAUUCUUGGUGUAGCGGUGAAAUGCGUAGAUAUCGGGAGGAACACCUGAGGCGAAGGCGGGCUACUGGGCCGAUACUGACGCUGAUGCGCGAAAGCCAGGGGAGCGAACGGG
This 253-nucleotide ribosomal RNA is filed under the name uncultured bacterium. Its description in RNAcentral is "partial 16S ribosomal RNA". It matches the Rfam family "Bacterial small subunit ribosomal RNA", at positions 524 to 776 of the family's 1533-position model. The record is from RNAcentral.